AGAGGCCUCAAGCGUUGUUCGGAAUCACUGGGCGUAAAGGGUGCGUAGGCGGCGCGGAAAGUCAGGGGUGAAAUCCCGGAGCUCAACUCCGGAACUGCCUUUGAUACUCCCGCGCUUGAGAACUGGAGGGGACAUCGGAAUUCACGGUGGAGCAGUGAAAUGCGUGGAUAUCGUGAGGAACACUAGUGGCGAAGGCGGAUGUCUGGACAGUAUCUGACGCUGAGGCACGAAGGCCAGGGGAGCGAACGGGAUUAGAUACCCCGGUAGUCCUGGCAGUAAACGGUGCACGCUUGGUAUGGGGGGAAUCGACCCCUCCCGUGCCGGAGCUAACGCGUUAAGCGUGCCGCCUGGGAAGUACGGUCGCAAGAUUA
This 371-nucleotide ribosomal RNA is filed under the name uncultured bacterium. RNAcentral's name for it is "bacterial SSU rRNA". It matches the Rfam family "Bacterial small subunit ribosomal RNA", at positions 527 to 896 of the family's 1533-position model. The record is from RNAcentral.